Molecule: ribosomal RNA, 1054 nt
Filed under: uncultured Pedobacter sp.
Lineage: Bacteria; Pseudomonadati; Bacteroidota; Sphingobacteriia; Sphingobacteriales; Sphingobacteriaceae
Description: bacterial SSU rRNA
Rfam family: Bacterial small subunit ribosomal RNA
Source: RNAcentral
ACGGGAGGCAGCAGUAAGGAAUAUUGGUCAAUGGAGGGAACUCUGAACCAGCCAUGCCGCGUGCAGGAAGACAGCCCUCUGGGUCGUAAACUGCUUUUAUUCGGGAAUAAACCUCAUUACGUGUAGUGAGCUGAAUGUACCGAAGGAAUAAGGAUCGGCUAACUCCGUGCCAGCAGCCGCGGUAAUACGGAGGAUCCAAGCGUUAUCCGGAUUUAUUGGGUUUAAAGGGUGCGUAGGCGGCUUAUUAAGUCAGGGGUGAAAGACGGUGGCUCAACCAUCGCAGUGCCCUUGAUACUGAUGAGCUUGAAUACACUAGAGGUAGGCGGAAUGUGACAAGUAGCGGUGAAAUGCAUAGAUAUGUCACAGAACACCGAUUGCGAAGGCAGCUUACUAUGGUGUGAUUGACGCUGAGGCACGAAAGCGUGGGGAUCAAACAGGAUUAGAUACCCUGGUAGUCCACGCCCUAAACGAUGAAUACUCGCUGUUAGCGAUAUACAGUUAGCGGCUAAGCGAAAGCGUUAAGUAUUCCACCUGGGGAGUACGCCCGCAAGGGUGAAACUCAAAGGAAUUGACGGGGGCCCGCACAAGCGGAGGAGCAUGUGGUUUAAUUCGAUGAUACGCGAGGAACCUUACCCGGGCUUGAAAGUUAGUGAAUAAUCAAGAGAUUGAUUAGUGAGCAAUCACACGAAACUAGGUGCUGCAUGGCUGUCGUCAGCUCGUGCCGUGAGGUGUUGGGUUAAGUCCCGCAACGAGCGCAACCCCUAUGUUUAGUUGCCAGCACGUUAAGGUGGGGACUCUAAACAGACUGCCUGUGCAAACAGAGAGGAAGGAGGGGACGACGUCAAGUCAUCAUGGCCCUUACGUCCGGGGCUACACACGUGCUACAAUGGAUGGUACAGAGGGCAGCAAGCUGGCAACAGCAAGCGAAUCUCAAAAAGCCAUUCACAGUUCGGAUAGAGGUCUGCAACUCGACCUCUUGAAGUUGGAUUCGCUAGUAAUCGCGUAUCAGCAAUGACGCGGUGAAUACGUUCCCGGGCCUUGUACACACCGCCCA